Molecule: long non-coding RNA, 995 nt
Filed under: Fukomys damarensis (Damara mole-rat)
Lineage: Eukaryota; Metazoa; Chordata; Mammalia; Rodentia; Bathyergidae
Description: lncRNA (ENSFDAG00000026418.1)
Source: RNAcentral
CAUAUACCUUGGCCUCUAGGAGGGCAGCGGGCAUGUGGUACCAGGGGCUAUUCAAUCAGGCCUGGCUGCCAAGGGUGGGGAACUCAGCCUGUCUUUGAGGAGACACAGUUCAUACAAAGCUCAGCCCAGAUCCUGGUCCCCAGGCACUAAUCCCAGGGUCAGGCAGAUACUUCGGGAGGUGGCAGAGGAAGCCCUGCACCUCCAGCACCCAUCUCCCUCAAGGCUCUGCUUGGCCCCUCAUUGGCUGAGGUCCAGGAAGGCAGCCCCGUCCCUUCCGGUACCCUUACGCUGCGUUGGGGAGGCUCCAACCUGAUACUGGAAACUCCAGAGUCUCCUCUGGAACACUGCCCGUUGUCCCCAGCACCCCUCAGGGCACCUCAGUGCUGCUCUGCCUCAGUGGGCCUAUCUGGCUCCACCCCUAUCCUGUCCCUCCCUACGUUCAGCCUGGACUGGAUGGCGACUCACAGCAGACCGACCACAGGGCAUACUCAGUGUGGAGUGAGCGUGGGCACCGGGCCUGCGAUGCCAGCCAGGCAGAGGGCCUCUGACCACGGACAGGGCAUGCUCAGGCCUGGCCUCUCCACCCCGGCUGCCCCAAGAGCAGACUUACAGAUGGCUGACAACAGAGGGCCUGGAGCUUCACUCUGAAACCAUGAGCUUGGACACCUUGCCCGGUGAGUGUCAUCCUGAGCCCAAGCCCUGCUCCUGGAAGCUCACCCCACCCUGAUAAUCUGCCAACUCCACACAAGUUCCCAGCAAGUCCAUCACAAGGGCCAGCCCAGACUGGACAUUGAGGAGGUCAGGAGGGGCUGCAGACAAGGCUACACUUGCUCCCUUACGCUAUCGAGUUGUUUUGUGUUUUGUUGCUUUCUGCUUUGUUCUGGAAGGUUUGGGAAUGAACCCUGUCUAGCACUUUCCUGAGCACUGUGCUUCCUGAGCUCAGGCCCUGCAGCUCCCUGCAGCCCCACUUGGGGAGUUGGCCCUGUGGAUCCAAG